ACAAGCAGCGGAGUCGUGUGGUUUAAUUCGUUGCUACACGAAGAACUUACCUGGGUUUGACAUAUAGGUUGUAGGGAACUGAAAGGGACGACCCUUCGGGGAGCCUAUACAGGUGUUGCAUGGCUGUCGUCAGCUCGUGUCGUGAGAUGUUCGGUUAAGUCCGCUAACGAGCGCAACCCUCGUCGUAUGUUAUAUGUGUCAUACGAGACUGCCGGUAAAAGCCGGAGGAAGGUGAGGAUGAUGUCAAGUCAGCAUGACCUUUAUAUCCAGGGCUACACACACGCUACAAUGGUCUGUACAAUGGGUAGCCAAGCCGCGAGGCGGAGCCAAUCCUGAAAGCAGGCCUCAGUUCAGAUUGCAGUCUGCAACUCGACUGCAUGAAGCCGGAGUUGCUAGUAACCGCAGGUCAGCAAUACUGCGGUGAAUACGUUCCCGGGUCUU
This 441-nucleotide ribosomal RNA is filed under the name uncultured Anaerolineaceae bacterium. RNAcentral describes it as "bacterial SSU rRNA". It matches the Rfam family "Bacterial small subunit ribosomal RNA", at positions 925 to 1382 of the family's 1533-position model. The record is from RNAcentral. Lineage: Bacteria; Bacillati; Chloroflexota; Anaerolineae; Anaerolineales; Anaerolineaceae.